Ostrea edulis (European flat oyster) is the source of this 2070-nucleotide long non-coding RNA. RefSeq lists it as uncharacterized. The transcript has 5 exons. The record is from RefSeq and is a predicted model, not a curated record. Lineage: Eukaryota; Metazoa; Mollusca; Bivalvia; Ostreida; Ostreidae.
GGCGUGUUUCCCGAACGACGACAGGUACAUGUACUUGUCUAAAACAACAUCUAAUUAAGCGGGGCGGUUAAGGGGCCUUCCAAGGGGGAAACACGUAGAGUUGACCUGCAUUUACCAUGAUUACGCAAGGUGUAAUAAAACAGGUAAAUACAUUCACUUUCAUAAAAUUUCUUGCGACGUAAAUUGUAGUGUUCAAUCACCAAGCAUAAUUGGAUGUUGAUUUAGGCAGGUAGUCGUUCGGGAUUAAGCCCUGGAAAAAUUACGUGAAGUGGAAUAAUAUAUCUAUACAUCUGAUAGUGCUGUGUAAGAGUGUAGUCGUGUGUACGACUCUCCCCCAUACGUGUAUGUGAAUCAACGUGUUUACCCAUGUCCAGAAUGUUGGAGGAAAGAUAAACUGCAUUGGGAACGGACAUUAGGACGUGUUUCGUGAAGGACUUGCUGUUAAUUGAGAGUGUUGACCUUGCUAAAGUACUUCAACACACUACGUGUAUCUAGGGGUGCCGGAUAUUGGAUACAUGCGUCUGUCUUGAAUUACAGAAGGGCGCAGAGUUACCUGUAUUUAUGCAGUAUGGAUAGAUGUGAACAGGUGUUGUGACUUACAGAUCCCACGAUGGAAAUGGUCAAGCUCGUGUAUGUGAAGAUCGAAGUUCAAUGAGAGAGAGAGAGUGAUUGGAUCCGAUGCAUAGUACUUUCCGAAUCCCAGGAGCUGCACUAAGGCCAGUCUGCUGGACUCCCAACUGCUUCUGAGGAACGCCGUGAUCAUUCGACCAUAUACCAAAUUAACUGGGUGUUGAGAUUUAUACGUCUUAUAACAUUAUUGGUGAUAAACAGAAGUAUGAAGAUCUAUGGUGAAGACCGGGAGUUUGGGGCCACUUUCUUUCACUGUACUAUAUAGGUAUCUAAGUUAUUAUUCAACAAUACCUUGGAAUGCCAUUAUAUAGAAGUGGGACAGGAAAGAAGGCAAACUCCAUCCAUCCUUAAGAAAGCAAACGCCAUCCUGACUUUCCUCGGCAGGAACAUUAACCGAUGUCCAACGGAUAUCAAGGCCCAAUGUUACUCCACCCUAGUACAACCAGUACACCUUUAAUUAGCGGAGCCCAGCAACUAAUCAGAGCAAUAAAAAAUUUCAACCGGAGACUUCCAGCGCACAACACGCAACAGCAACUCCAGUGACAAACAUUACGGUACCGACGAGAGACAAUAAUAUAAUGCUAAAUACCUAGGAUCGUAUACAAUCCUGUGAACUACCCUCUACAGCGCACUUCACUGCGGACCAUAGGUGACAUCACACGUUUCCUAUAGUGCCCCAUGGCAAGAACCAGGAUUCGUUCUUCCCUCAAUCCAUCAGUUAUGGAACCCGUUAUCAGAAGAGAUUACAUAAACAUGUUACAAAGGACUGGCAAGCGCUGAUUGACAUGUAGGAGGAUGUCUAGAACAAUCGCAGACAAAAAGGAAUGUAAUGUCCUGUGACUCCAACAGGGUCGACAUAUCUGUGUUCUAACUUGUCAUAUUUAGAUAGGGAGGGGCCCCUGCCUAUGAUCACCCUCUUGACGCAGUCUAUGCACAUGUGUUAUAGUCAAAUAUUAAAAUGUUUUACGUACAUUAUAUGCAAAACAAAAUGCAUUGAUGAUUGUUUUGUAUAAACGAGAUCGAAAAUGUUGGCAAUAUAAAUUUAUCAUAUCACAAAAGAAAAUUUAAUAUUACAAAUACACGUGCGUUGUAUCAAACACAUCACUAUUCAGAGGGAAAUACACCUUGUUUUAAAAAUGUUUUUUCAUGAAAUUCAAUAUGUUUUUUUCCCGCUCAUUAAAAAUAUUAAAUCAUUUUUUUGAUUUUAUUGUAUUAUCUAAAAAAAAAUCAUACGUAGUUCGCUUUUUGUGAAAUUGUGACUUUUUGAAAAUUUGUUAUUGUACAAUGUCUUUAGAAUUAGCAAGUUUUGACAUAUUUACUUGAUAUUUGUUGUCAUACACUUUUUUCAAAUGCAUAUUUCACCUGUUAUUCAGUCUUGCUGCUGUUCGAUUUGAAACAUGUAGCUAAAUAAAAUAAAAUCAUGUACAUCUUUUUGCAUUA